This is a long non-coding RNA of Drosophila elegans, 3216 nucleotides long. RefSeq lists it as uncharacterized. The record is from RefSeq and is a predicted model, not a curated record. NCBI's taxonomy places the organism in Eukaryota, Metazoa, Arthropoda, Insecta, Diptera, Drosophilidae. The transcript has 2 exons.
GCUAAUUCUUAUUCACUUAUUUUUACAAUUUAUGAAGUUUAUGAACAUUUAAAAAUAAUUUUUCAGUUUUAUUGUCACAGCGAAGUCUUUAAGAAAAUUUUAGUCAAUAAGGAUGGACUGUAAUGAAAAUAGCAUGAUUUAUAAUAUAUAUCAACACCUAGAACGUAUAGAAAAAAAUCUGUUGUUUUUGGCCAAAUAGAAAACAAACACAACGUUGCUGUCAUAAAUUUCGGCACUAAUACCGCAAUAUAAAAUGAAAAAUGUUGUGCUGUUAAAUGUAAAAGAUUUAAACAAAUUCGGGGGAGAUUCGAUAAAUACUAAAGACACAUAGAUGUGGCCAACUUAACUAUAAUUUUCAGUUUUGUUAUUCAGAUACCUAAUUUGCACGGAUCCCAAAAUUUUUCCCUUGCCAUAUUUCAAACAAAUAAACACCAUCUAUUAUAAUCGUUUACACAAUCUUUAACAAAAGUCUUGAACUUGAUAUUGAAUUCUCAGACAAAUCAUCUGAAUCUUUUGGGUAACCCAUACAUAUGCCUAACAUACAUAUGUUGUGUUAUCGAAGCGAACAUAUUCAUUUGUUACUAACGAAAACUGAGGGAAAAUAUUUGAAAAGUUGCCAACAAAAUUUAUGCAACGCGCAGCAAACAUCGAAAGAUUUUAAGACACCUAACCCAUCUAUCUACGUGUGUUGUUUUUCAAAAAACGCAAAACUUUUGCUUUUCAUCAGAACACGAAUUUUCCACUGGCGGAUAUUAAAAUACAUAUCAAACCGCCAUUCCAACAAUCAAAUUAUAUACGUUUAAGAAAUAUGUACAAAUUAAUUCUUUAUAUAUAUUAAAUGAAAGCCAGGCUACAGCAGCCACGCAGGAUGCUUAUAUAAUCCAGAAAUGUUGUCGCCUCUGCUCUUUCUUGAAAAGUUUGCGCAUUUUCAAUUUUUACUUUGGUAACUGUCACUUCUGCCCCGCCUGUUUUCGUUUUCAUUUUCAAUUGCUGCCGUCAAGUGGCGCUGAGAUUACGUAAAUGCGCCCAGCAGCUUUUCCAUUCCACAGCGACUCCUAACCACCAAGCAACCAACCCAUCAACCAGCUGGCAGCCUUUGGGGGCUGGUGCCGCGUAGGAUUUCACAUAGAACAAUAGACCUAAACCCCAACUAACAAGUGGGGGAAAAGCGAAAUGGCAUGUACUAUACUGGGCUGACCUUGAAAAGCUUGCGAAACAAGCUCGCGGAUAUGUAGAUACAAUAGCAGCCACUGGCGAUUUCGUUACUGUUGACACACAGUUGAGAAAGCACUUAGCAUAUGGGGGUAUAGAACGUACAGAGCGGGUCAUUUUUAUAGGCCCUAUGGUUGUCUUUCUUAAAAUAUAUUUACCACACUAAUCGACUAUUUUUCGAGAAGGUUUAAAAUUACUUUUUUGUUACUUAUACGAUAAAUAUUUAUUUUUUGUGUCCAAAUUAGAGAGAAAUAAACCAGGGUAUUGUAUUUCAAAUAAGUAUGCCUGCCAAAAGCCUUUAUAAAUUCUUCCAAGUUCACAAAGUUAAUAUUUUACCCGCAACUGUAUGUAUAUCUUUUUAAGAGAUUAGUGUAGAACUGAGGCUGCAUGUGACGAGCCUACAGUAAGCUAAGUCCCGCUUGAUUCCUCAGAUGUGAUCGCUUACACACUAAGCCUCGACAUACGCGAUCUUUAUCCGCACAUCUGACGAAUCGAAACAACUUGCAUAACUUUCUCGAACGUAUGAAUGGUGGGCAAUGUUUAUAGUAGCAUUUAGUCAUUGACUGAUUGCGACCCCUGUGGAGGCCAGCGAUCGAGAAUGUAGCUGCAAAAACGAAAGCCAAAAAUGAGUAAACCAUUUGAAAUAUGUGUUAUUAAUUAGUUCAAUUUGCGGCCAACGAAGCACGAGCCCAACUUAAUGCCCAGUGCCCGCUAUCCGGGCAAUUAGCUGUGAAAUUACUGCUUCAAAAUGGAACGGAGGAGGAGCUCUAGCACUAGCAAAGCAGUGGCUAAUUAUCCACGGAUUGCAACAGAUUAUAGCCAUAAAAUGAAACGAAAACGCAUAUAUGCUAAAAGCUCUGUUCUGUUGUCAACUUUCCAUCUGUGUUUCGGCUCUUGCCUUUUGUUUGCUAAACAAUAUUUUGGCAGAACAUCAAAAGCGACGCUUGCCAAAAGCAAUUUUUUGCACAGACGCGAGCCAAGUGCUUAAAAUAUAUAUCCGUACAUAUGUACAGGCAAAUUAUACUUAUGCAUAUAUAUGAGGGUACAUCAAACAAGACACCUAAAUGAAGACCUCUGUCCAUCAGGAACUUCAGGCAUUAUGAAAGAGGGCCCAAAGGCGGAUCAGAUAUGAGGCAUGACGCCAGGCUAAAAUGGGAUCUAUCCGCAGCAGGAGGCAAAUAUUGCUGCUGCCGGGCUAAUCUGAUGCAUAUGAACAAUGAAACGUAACGAAAUGUGUGUACGUUGUCGCGCCACAACAGCCAGCCUCUGCUGCGUUUCCAAAUAUAAAUAAACUUUGCAUGGGGGAGAUCAUGUGACCCGACUACAGGCGACGCGACAGGUCUCAUAAUGGCCCGUCAGAGGCACGUCAUUACGAUUUCCAUUUCUCGUGGGCAGCCUGCCAAAAACUAAUAAACCUGCCUCGCAGGGCGGCCAGAGAUCCUUGAACACCUGACAACAUUGGGGCAAGGACAAGUCGGCAGGGCUUGCGUGCCCCAAGGUUUUCUUCGAUUAAUAUUAAUGGAAAAUCAAUUGCGCGCAAUUAGAGGAAGUGGAGACCAAACACAUGGCGAUGUUGAGGUUCAUAAAUAAACUGUAAACUGCACAUGCAGGACCAGAUCCCAAACUGGCGACGCCAUCCAUCAUCAUCAUCAUCAUCAUCAUCAUCAUCAUCAUGCUGGUGAUCCAACGAAUUUGCUGACGCUGCACCGUUGUGUCGCCAAGCAAGCGGCUGUCUUUCUGCCGCAUGGCAACUAUUUUCGCCCGUUGAAGAGAAGUCAUCCGAGUGCAUUGAACCCACUUCCCACCAUGGCAGAUGCGGAAAAAUUAAAUUUAAAAACUCAAAAGUUACCGAAAUAAAACCAAAAGAACGCUAUAGCUGAGUGGCCUCAACUUAGAGAUACCUGCUACUAACUGCUAUGGGUUAAAAUUCGUGGCCUACCUUCACGCGUGUAUUUUAUAUAAGCUCGGCAUAACCAAUAAAUUAUAAAAUUUGUUAGAAAUCUA